This 609-nucleotide unclassified non-coding RNA is filed under the name Salicornia persica. RNAcentral describes it as "partial contains external transcribed spacer and small subunit ribosomal RNA". The stretch from base 533 to 609 matches the Rfam family "Eukaryotic small subunit ribosomal RNA", at positions 1 to 77 of the family's 1831-position model. The record is from RNAcentral. Lineage: Eukaryota; Viridiplantae; Streptophyta; Magnoliopsida; Caryophyllales; Amaranthaceae.
GCGGUGCUGAUUAGGGGUUGUUCUUACUCUCCCUUGCAAUUAUUUUGUACUUGUAGGGGUGCAUGUAGGCACGGUCCUUGUGAUGCGGUACGUGAUGGUGUGUGAGUGGUAUUUGGUUUGUGUGGUUGGCGGGCUCUUUGCUUGUGCAUUGGACCGUUCACCAACAUACCUUUUCAUUGUAUGCUGCAAGUGCACCAUUUUGCCUUGGGCGACGUGUGGUCCCUAUGUUGGAUUCCGAUUAACGGUAUUGUUGUUGUCCCUUUAAAGAGUGAUAUUCGCUCUACGUCCGUAAAAGGAGGUCGAGCGGACCAUGAAACUUGACUCGUUAUCCUCCUGUUUUGUGAAAACAAGCAUGAUAGGGUUGGAUUAUGAUCUCAAGUUGGGCCCUAGGAUACAGAAAGUUGUGUGGGAGUUGAUGUAAAAACGUCGCAAACCCAAAGCGUUGGUACGCUAAUGAUGGAUGACAUUCGAGUGUGUUGUGAUUCUUUCAUUCUAGAAAGGUUCAUGCUCGCCGAUGUCGACCAAGGAGUGCUACCUGGUUGAUCCUGCCAGUAGUCAUAUGCUUGUCUCAAAGAUUAAGCCAUGCAUGUGUAAGUAUGAACUAAUUCA